ACGCUGUCUUUGAGCCCCCGGCGCUCCUUCUUGUGGUGCUGGGGGUUAAGCUGCAGUGCUAUAGCAUUUUGCUGGCGCAUAACUGGGGCUGCCUGCCUAUCGUGGGCCGCCCUUUUAACCGCUAGCUACAGGC
Molecule: small nucleolar RNA, 133 nt
Organism: Rattus rattus (black rat)
Lineage: Eukaryota; Metazoa; Chordata; Mammalia; Rodentia; Muridae
Source: RefSeq, a predicted model, not a curated record